RNAcentral lists this long non-coding RNA (314 nucleotides) under Homo sapiens (human). RNAcentral describes it as "HSALNT0177991". Lineage: Eukaryota; Metazoa; Chordata; Mammalia; Primates; Hominidae. The record is from RNAcentral.
UGCCUUCCUGGAGUGAAGGACUUUCACAGCCCAGCUCUCUGGUAUGGACCCAAUGUCACUGACUACUGAUUCUGCUCAGGCCUCUGGAAAGCCCCUUUGGAAGUUGGGUGUAGCCAUGUGGCUUUCUUGAAUCAGUGAAAUGUGAGCAAAUUGAUGGUGUCGCUUCUGGGCAGAAGUGGUGAGAUCCAGGAAUCCGACAGGCCACCCACCCACUCCCUGCAUUCUCAUUUCCUGCCUUGGUAAUUGUAAAAGGAUGUUCUGUGAUGUUGUUGCCUGAAUUAGGCAGGGACAAUAAAUACAUUUUUUGGACGGGU